AGAGAAAAUCAAAUAAAUUAUGAAAUGCUUUGAUCUUAGUGUCAUGCUUCACGAUAUUACUUAGCUACGGGUGACCCCUACAGAUAGUGUGAUACCACUCUCGUCAGAGGGUACGUCGUCCUCCAUUGGGAGUGGUCCUCUUAUAUCUUUCCAGACCAGAUAGAGGAGGGAGGAAAAAGAUACCCCAAAGAGCCAGAGGAACAGAUACUCCUCAACGAUAAAAAGACUAACGAGACACUUGAUGCAACAUUCAUGUCAAUACAGAUACACUUC
This 273-nucleotide long non-coding RNA is filed under the name Carica papaya (papaya). RNAcentral describes it as "long non-coding RNA (CPAP_LNC015983)". Lineage: Eukaryota; Viridiplantae; Streptophyta; Magnoliopsida; Brassicales; Caricaceae. The record is from RNAcentral.